AUUGAACGCUGGCGGCAUGCCUUACACAUGCAAGUCGAACGGCAGCACGGGAGCAAUCCUGGUGGCGAGUGGCGAACGGGUGAGUAAUACAUCGGAACGUGCUCAAUCGUGGGGGAUAACGCAGCGAAAGCUGUGCUAAUACCGCAUACGAUCUACGGAUGAAAGCAGGGGAUCGCAAGACCUUGCGCGAAUGGAGCGGCCGAUGGCAGAUUAGGUAGUUGGUGAGGUAAAGGCUCACCAAGCCGUCGAUCUGUAGCUGGUCUGAGAGGACGACCAGCCACACUGGGACUGAGACACGGCCCAGACUCCUACGGGAGGCAGCAGUGGGGAAUUUUGGACAAUGGGCGAAAGCCUGAUCCAGCCAUGCCGCGUGCAGGAUGAAGGCCUUCGGGUUGUAAACUGCUUUUGUACGGAACGAAACGGCCUUUUCUAAUAAAGAGGGCUAAUGACGGUACCGUAAGAAUAAGCACCGGCUAACUACGUGCCAGCAGCCGCGGUAAUACGUAGGGUGCAAGCGUUAAUCGGAAUUACUGGGCGUAAAGCGUGCGCAGGCGGUUAUGUAAGACAGUUGUGAAAUCCCCGGGCUCAACCUGGGAACUGCAUCUGUGACUGCAUAGCUAGAGUACGGUAGAGGGGGAUGGAAUUCCGCGUGUAGCAGUGAAAUGCGUAGAUAUGCGGAGGAACACCGAUGGCGAAGGCAAUCCCCUGGACCUGUACUGACGCUCAUGCACGAAAGCGUGGGGAGCAAACAGG
Molecule: ribosomal RNA, 753 nt
Filed under: uncultured Comamonadaceae bacterium
Lineage: Bacteria; Pseudomonadati; Pseudomonadota; Betaproteobacteria; Burkholderiales; Comamonadaceae
Description: bacterial SSU rRNA
Rfam family: Bacterial small subunit ribosomal RNA
Source: RNAcentral